UACGUAGGGGCCGAGCGUUGUCCGGAGUUACUGGGCGUAAAGCGCGCGCAGGCGGCUCGUCAAGCCUGACGUGAAAGCCCCCGGCUCAACCGGGGAGGGUCGUCGGGGACUGGCGGGCUUGAGGUCGGCAGGGGUUGGUGGAAUUCCCGGUGUAGUGGUGAAAUGCGUAGAGAUCGGGAGGAACACCCGUGGCGAAGGCGGCCAACUGGGCCGGACCUGACGCUGAGGCGCGAAGGCGUGGGGAGCGAACGGGAUUAGAAACCCUAGUAGUCC
RNAcentral lists this ribosomal RNA (273 nucleotides) under uncultured prokaryote. RNAcentral describes it as "partial 16S ribosomal RNA". It matches the Rfam family "Bacterial small subunit ribosomal RNA", at positions 524 to 796 of the family's 1533-position model. The record is from RNAcentral.